UACUCCUACGGGAGGCAGCAGUGGGGAAUUUUGGACAAUGGGCGCAAGCCUGAUCCAGCCAUGCCGCGUGCAGGAUGAAGGCCUUCGGGUUGUAAACUGCUUUUGUACGGAACGAAAAGACUCCUUCUAAUAAAGGGGGUCCAUGACGGUACCGUAAGAAUAAGCACCGGCUAACUACGUGCCAGCAGCCGCGGUAAUACGUAGGGUGCGAGCGUUAAUCGGAAUUACUGGGCGUAAAGCGUGCGCAGGCGGUGAUGUAAGACAGAUGUGAAAUCCCCGGGCUCAACCUGGGAACUGCAUUUGUGACUGCAUCGCUGGAGUGCGGCAGAGGGGGAUGGAAUUCCGCGUGUAGCAGUGAAAUGCGUAGAUAUGCGGAGGAACACCGAUGGCGAAGGCAAUCCCCUGGGCCUGCACUGACGCUCAUGCACGAAAGCGUGGGGAGCAAACAGGAUUAGAUACCCUGGUAGUCCACGCCCUAAACGAUGUCAACUGGUUGUUGGGUCUUCACUGACUCAGUAACGAAGCUAACGCGUGAAGUUGACCGCCUGGGGAGUACGGCCGCAAGGUUGAAACUCAGAGGAAUUGACGGGGACCCCCACAAGCGGUGGAGCAUGUGGA
This 618-nucleotide ribosomal RNA is filed under the name uncultured bacterium. RNAcentral's name for it is "bacterial SSU rRNA". It matches the Rfam family "Bacterial small subunit ribosomal RNA", at positions 334 to 945 of the family's 1533-position model. The record is from RNAcentral.